UACGGGGGGAGCAAGCGUUGUUCGGAUUUACUGGGCGUAAAGGGCGCGUAGGCGGCCACCGCAAGUCAAUUGUGAAAUCUCCGGGCUUAACUCGGAAAGGUCAACUGAUACUGCGGGGCUAGAGUGCGGAAGGGGCAACUGGAAUUCUCGGUGUAGCGGUGAAAUGCGUAGAUAUCGAGAGGAACACCGGCGGCGAAGGCGGGUUGCUGGGCCGACACUGACGCUGAUGCGCGAAAGCCAGGGGAGCGAACGGG
RNAcentral lists this ribosomal RNA (254 nucleotides) under uncultured bacterium. RNAcentral's name for it is "partial 16S ribosomal RNA". It matches the Rfam family "Bacterial small subunit ribosomal RNA", at positions 524 to 776 of the family's 1533-position model. The record is from RNAcentral.